GUGGGGAAUUGUUCGCAAUGGGCGCAAGCCUGACGACGCAACGCCGCGUGGAGGACGAAGAUCUUCGGGUCGUAAACUCCUGUCGAGCGGGAAGAACACCCAUCCGGUGAACAUCCGGGAGGGCUGACGGUACCGCUAAAGGAAGCCCCGGCUAACUCCGUGCCAGCAGCCGCGGUAAUACGGGGGGGGCAAGCGUUGUUCGGAAUUACUGGGCGUAAAGGGCUCGUAGGCGGCCAACUAAGUCGGAUGUGAAAUCCCCAGGCUCAACCUGGGAACUGCAUCCGAUACUGGAUGGCUUGAAUCCGGGAGAGGGAUGCAGAAUUCCAGGUGUAGCGGUGAAAUGCGUAGAUAUCUGGAGGAAUACCGGUGGCGAAGGCGGCAUCCUGGACCGGCAUUGACGCUGAUGAGCGAAAGCCAGGGGAGCAAACGGG
Molecule: ribosomal RNA, 431 nt
Filed under: uncultured bacterium
Lineage: Bacteria
Description: bacterial SSU rRNA
Rfam family: Bacterial small subunit ribosomal RNA
Source: RNAcentral